AUAUGAGAGCACUACUUGAUAUACCCGCACCACAUGAUACAUUAGAAAGUUUGAGAACAUUUCAUGACAAAUCAGAAGCUUACAUACGGGGUCUAGAGUCUCUCGGACAAUGUCAGGAAAUGUACGGAUCGCUAUUGAUACCAGUGAUUCUCGGGAAGUUACCGCAUGAAGUACGAAAAAAAUAUAACACGAGAAAACGGGAGCGACAGUUGGAAUAUUCAAUCGCUUAGAAACGCGAUAGGUAAAGAGAUUUCUAUUCAAGAGUCCGGAUACGGUGAUUAUACACAGACGUAUUCAACCGCAACCCCUAGCGCAAAUUUCAUAACAGGCGUUAAACGAGUAACUACAGAUAAAACCCGUCCGAUAAACACAACAGAUAAAUCAUUUAACUCGAAUCGGAAGAAACAAUGCGCAUAUUGUGACGGAAACCACUGGCCAAACGAAUGUAAAGAUGUCAUAGAUCACGAUAAAAGAGUAGUAGCCAUUAUAAAAGAAAAGAGGUUAUGCUUUAAUUGUUUAGGUAAGCAUAAAAUAGCCGAUUGCAAAUCCAAGAAUACGUGUAAGUGUUGCCACCGGAAGCAUCACUCUUCAUUAUGUAAACAGAACUCGUACUCAAAUAAACAUCAUAUUGAAACUGAACAAUCGCAAACAAAGUAGACACAGAAACUUCUAUGUUGUAUACCGCUAGCGAAGAAAGGUCCACUGUUUUACUGAAAACCGC
This 721-nucleotide long non-coding RNA is filed under the name Mytilus galloprovincialis (Mediterranean mussel). The record is from RNAcentral. Lineage: Eukaryota; Metazoa; Mollusca; Bivalvia; Mytilida; Mytilidae.